RNAcentral lists this ribosomal RNA (407 nucleotides) under uncultured bacterium. RNAcentral's name for it is "partial 16S ribosomal RNA". It matches the Rfam family "Bacterial small subunit ribosomal RNA", at positions 30 to 526 of the family's 1533-position model. The record is from RNAcentral.
AUUGAACGCUAGCGGGAUGCUUUACACAUGCAAGUCGAACGGAGUGGCGGACGGGUGAGUAAUAUAUAGGAAAGUGCCCAGUAGCGGGGGAUAACUACUCGAAAGAGUGGCUAAUAACGCAUACUAUUGGAGCGGCCGAUAUCGGCUUAGCUAGUUGGUGGGGUAAAGGCUCACAAGGGCAACGAUCCUUAGCUGGUCUGAGAGGACGACCAGCCACACUGUGACUGCGACACGGUCCAUACUCCUACGGGAGGCAGCAGUGGGGAAUUUGGCACAAUGGGGGAAACCCUGAUCCAGCCAUCCCGCGUGUAUGAUGAAGGCCUUCGGGUUGUAAAGUACUUUUAGCAGAGAGGCGUGACCGGCAGAAUAAGCACCGGCUAACUACGUGCCAGCCGCCGCGGUAAUAC